RNAcentral lists this ribosomal RNA (253 nucleotides) under uncultured bacterium. RNAcentral's name for it is "partial 16S ribosomal RNA". It matches the Rfam family "Bacterial small subunit ribosomal RNA", at positions 524 to 776 of the family's 1533-position model. The record is from RNAcentral.
UACGUAGGGUGCAAGCGUUGUCCGGAAUUAUUGGGCGUAAAGAGCUCGUAGGCGGUUUGUUGCGUCGGCUGUGAAAUCCCGAGGCUCAACCUCGGGUCUGCAGUCGAUACGAGCAAACUAGAGUGUUGCAGGGGAGACUGGAAUUCCCGGUGUAGUGGUGGAAUGCGUAGAUAUCGGGAGGAACACCAGUGGCGAAGGCGGUUGCCUGGAGCUUUGCUGACGCUGAGGCGCGAAAGCGUGGGGAGCGAUCCGG